RNAcentral lists this ribosomal RNA (809 nucleotides) under uncultured bacterium. RNAcentral's name for it is "bacterial SSU rRNA". It matches the Rfam family "Bacterial small subunit ribosomal RNA", at positions 8 to 815 of the family's 1533-position model. The record is from RNAcentral.
AGAGUUUGAUCCUGGCUCAGGAUGAACGCUGGCGGCAUGCCUAACACAUGCAAGUCGAACGGAGGUUUAUAUAACAGAACUCUCCGGAGGGAAGAUAUAUAAACCUAGUGGCGGACGGGUGAGUAACGCGUGGGCAACCUGCCCUGUACCGGGGGACAACAGCCAGAAAUGGCUGCUAAUACCGCAUAAGCCUGCGGUGCCGCAUGGCACAGCAGGGAAAACCACGGUGGUACAGGAUGGGCCCGCGUCUGAUUAGUUAGUUGGCAGGGUAACGGCCUACCAAGGCAGCGAUCAGUAGCCGGCUUGAGAGAGUGGACGGCCACAUUGGGACUGAGACACGGCCCAGACUCCUGCGGGAGGCAGCAGUGGGGAAUAUUGCACAAUGGGGGGAACCCUGAUGCAGCAAUGCCGCGUGGGUGAAGAAGCACUCCGGUGCGUAAAGCCCUGUCAGCAGGGAAGAAAAUGACAGUACCUGACCAAGAAGCCCCGGCUAACUACGUGCCAGCAGCCGCGGUAAUAUGUAGGGGGCAAGCGUUAUCCGGAUUUACUGGGUGUAAAGGGAGCGCAGGCGGUAUGGCAAGUCAGAUGUGAAAACCCAGGGCCCAACCCUGGGACUGCAUUUGAAACUGCCAUACUGGAGUGCCGGAGAGGUAAGUGGAAUUCCUAGUGUAGCGGUGAAAUGCGUAGAUAUUAGGAGGAACACCAGUGGCGAAGGCGGCUUACUGGACGGUAACUGACGCUGAGGCUCGAAAGCGUGGGGAGCAAACAGGAUUAGAUACCCUGGUAGUCCACGCUGUAAACGAUGAAUA